Molecule: unclassified non-coding RNA, 488 nt
Filed under: Carpha capitellata var. bracteosa
Lineage: Eukaryota; Viridiplantae; Streptophyta; Magnoliopsida; Poales; Cyperaceae
Description: partial external transcribed spacer 1
Source: RNAcentral
UGGGGCUGKCUUUUCACUCUCCCUCCCUUACAUUYUGCUWRGGAGGGACACGCUUGUUGCCGGCUGCCUGUGUGGUUUUACCCCUGCGGGGAUCGCAAGUCGUGACUUACUCCAAGCUUGCCCCGCCGACAUGUUGUCRUGGGGGCAGUCRGAAUGUGGGCGGAAUCCUUGUGUCGUCUGAGGGCCAAUGACCCCAUGCGGCACUCUGAUCCUGCCGGCUCUCAUGGAUGCGGUGCCAAAUGAARGUUCUGCGGGCCUCCGGUCCCAGAUUUCCUCGGGAGGUCCCUUGCACGGAUCGUUGCACCGCCGCUUCGCCCUUCUACGGGUGUCGGAGCGGKGUGUGCUCCUGUGCAUGCGAGAUGUCUCUCCGUUCUAGUGAGCGACUGMCGGUUCGGGUUGCGCGGAUGGCCUCCCUUGCCGGGUGUGCCGAAGCGUCGUGCCGGCUCUCGUUUAGGAUGUGCUACCUGGUUGAUCCUGCCAGUAGUCAU